GGUUCCCGUAUGAUCACCAAAGUUAAGCAACAUUGAGCCUGGUUAGUAUCUAGAUGGGUGACCACUUGGGAAUACCAGGUGCUGUAAG
Non-coding RNA from Acanthosepion pharaonis, 88 nucleotides. The record is from the annotation of a GenBank genome assembly. Lineage: Eukaryota; Metazoa; Mollusca; Cephalopoda; Sepiida; Sepiidae.